ACAUUCUCAAACUCUUUCUCUCUCCCUUUCCAUCUUGUCCUUCACAAUCACAACAACAACCACCGCCACCACCACCACCUGUGAGGGAAUGGCCGAGAGAGAAGAUUUUCCGGCAGGAGACAAAGAGUUCCGGCCGAGGAAGAGAGUGUUCCGACCGAGAUAAAGAGUUCCGGUGACGUUUCGCGGUGACAGAGCUUCUUUCUCCUUCUUUUCUCUGGUUCGAUCUUACUUUCUAUACUCUGUUUAUUUUCUUUUUUUUUNNNNNNNNNNNNNNNNNNNNNNNNNNNNNNNNNNNNNNNNGGUGGUUAGGGUGGAUGGUGAUGUAUCUCAAAAUUCAUCUUCUUGAUUUCAUCUUUCUCAAUUUGUGAAUAUUCAUCUCUCUAAUUGGCUUUCUGUGUUGGUUUUUUGCAGGCUCUAUAAAAGAGGUAGGUCAGUUUCAAUUUUUGGGUUCUCAAUCUUAGGUUUGGUUUAUGUUUUUUCUGUUUCUUUGCUGGUUUUUCUUCUAUUUUUCCUGUAUCAUUCUUGCUGAUUUGUUCAUCUUCUUUUCAAUUUUUCACUAUUUUCGGUUUUUCAUGCAUGAAAAGUAUAGAUCUUGAUUUUAAUUUGAUUGUACNNNNNNNNNNNNNNNNNNNNNNNNNNNAGGACUAUUAGGAGGCCAGUUUUACUGUGGAAAAUGCAGGAUGCCAAGAACUGCUAUACUUAGGUAUAGAUUUCAUAAACACUGCAUCUCUCUUUAAAUAAUCACUUGAUGUUGUUAAUUGGACAUGAUAUACUUACCUCAUUUUUUUUAGGUUUUUAGAAAGAACUGCACAAGACUUGCUUCAUGCAGCAUUUUGCAGAUAAAGGAUGGAUUUUGAUUUAGCUUGAAGGUUUUGAUCAUCUAUUAUAAGAGGUAGUUUCUCUUCUUGCAUCUUUUACAUUAUGAUCUUUUUUUUUUAUUUGCGAAUUUAAUUAGCAUUUAGCACAUGUAUUAUAUGUUCUUAAUGUUCCUGAGUUUUCAUCUAUUUGAUGUGAAUUGCAAUCAAUUAUAGUUAUAUCGAGACAAUUGAUACAUAUAGGAAUUACCUAAAACACAUAUCCAACACAUAACAAUUCUAAGAGAAAAAAGCCUAGGAUUAAAAAAAAAGGCACUAAGCAGCCAUAGACACUGAAGCUAUGCAGAUAAAUUUGGAACCCAUGUUGGUGAAUCAUAAUUGCUACUUUCAGGGGAGGGGGAUAGAUAUUUAUGGUUACUACUAUUUUAUAGGGAUGACUACAUUAUCAUGGCUACUUUUUAGGAAGUAUUGAUCAUCCAAUCCUAUAUUUUUGCUUUGUCAGAUACUAUCUGAUAAUAUCUUAAAUUCUAAUAACUUUUUGGUUGUCAAUGACUCAUUUUGCUUCAGUACUUACUACCAU
This 1395-nucleotide long non-coding RNA is filed under the name Trifolium pratense (red clover). RNAcentral's name for it is "long non-coding RNA (TPRA_LNC003633)". The record is from RNAcentral. Lineage: Eukaryota; Viridiplantae; Streptophyta; Magnoliopsida; Fabales; Fabaceae.